Molecule: ribosomal RNA, 775 nt
Filed under: uncultured Neocallimastigales
Lineage: Eukaryota; Fungi; Neocallimastigomycota; Neocallimastigomycetes; Neocallimastigales
Description: partial large subunit ribosomal RNA
Rfam family: Eukaryotic large subunit ribosomal RNA
Source: RNAcentral
AGAGAGAGACAUGCGCGCAUAUCAAUAAGCGGAGGAAAAGAAACUAACAAGGAUUCCCCUAGUAACGGCGAGUGAAGCGGGAAGAGCUCAAAUUUGAAAUCUUAAAGGGUUUCCCUUUACGAAUUGUAGUUUAAAGAAGUGUUUUCUGUUGAGGUUUUGGUAAAAGUUCUUUGGAAUAGGACAUCAUAGAGGGUGAGAAUCCCGUAUUUGACCUUUACUUUCAACUUUGUGAUACACUUUCAAAGAGUCGGAUUGUUUGGGAAUGCAGUCCAAAAUGGGUGGUAAAUUUCAUCUAAAGCUAAAUAUUGGCGAGAGACCGAUAGCGAACAAGUACCGUGAGGGAAAGAUGAAAAGAACUUUGAAAAGAGAGUUAAACAGUACGUGAAAUUGUCAAAAGGGAAGCGUUUGACACCAGUGUUGUUUUUCUGAAAAUCAAUUAAAGAACUGUUUAUGCUAAGUUGCUUAGACUUUAUCAGCUAUCUGUUUAGUUUUGAGCUUUUCUUUAAUGCACUUUUCAGUUAACAAGUCAACAUCAAUUUCUUUUGCUGUAAAAAAGCUUGAGGAAGGUGGCUUGAGAUUCGUCUUAAGUGUUUAUAGCCUCUUGCCUAUGCAGUCGGAGAGAUUGAGGUCUGCAGCGUAGAUCCUUCGGGAGCUAAAUGCAUUUGUGCUAAGUUAUAGCAUUUUAUAGACAACUUGUUGACUAUGAUUUGUCUUGUAGCUUACUCGCUUAUGUUAUUUUACCUACGCUUAGGAUGUUGACGCAUGAGAUAUACGC